This 1341-nucleotide ribosomal RNA is filed under the name Salmonella enterica subsp. enterica serovar Kiambu. RNAcentral describes it as "partial 23S ribosomal RNA". It matches the Rfam family "Bacterial large subunit ribosomal RNA", at positions 163 to 1547 of the family's 2925-position model. The record is from RNAcentral. Lineage: Bacteria; Pseudomonadati; Pseudomonadota; Gammaproteobacteria; Enterobacterales; Enterobacteriaceae.
UCCAUAGGUUAAUGAGGCGAACCGGGGGAACUGAAACAUCUAAGUACCCCGAGGAAAAGAAAUCAACCGAGAUUCCCCCAGUAGCGGCGAGCGAACGGGGAGGAGCCCAGAGCCUGAAUCAGCAUGUGUGUUAGUGGAAGCGUCUGGAAAGGCGCGCGAUACAGGGUGACAGCCCCGUACACAAAAGCGCAUGUGCUGUGAGCUCGAUGAGUAGGGCGGGACACGUGGUAUCCUGUCUGAAUAUGGGGGGACCAUCCUCCAAGGCUAAAUACUCCUGACUGACCGAUAGUGAACCAGUACCGUGAGGGAAAGGCGAAAAGAACCCCGGCGAGGGGAGUGAAAAAGAACCUGAAACCGUGUACGUACAAGCAGUGGGAGCACCCUUUUGGGUGUGACUGCGUACCUUUUGUAUAAUGGGUCAGCGACUUAUAUUCUGUAGCAAGGUUAACCGAAUAGGGGAGCCGGAGGGAAACCGAGUCUUAAUUGGGCGUUAAGUUGCAGGGUAUAGACCCGAAACCCGGUGAUCUAGCCAUGGGCAGGUUGAAGGUUGGGUAACACUAACUGGAGGACCGAACCGACUAAUGUUGAAAAAUUAGCGGAUGACCUGUGGCUGGGGGUGAAAGGCCAAUCAAACCGGGAGAUAGCUGGUUCUCCCCGAAAGCUAUUUAGGUAGCGCCUCGUGAAUUCAUCUCCGGGGGUAGAGCACUGUUUCGGCUAGGGGGCCAUCCCGGCUUACCAACCCGAUGCAAACUGCGAAUACCGGAGAAUGUUAUCACGGGAGACACACGGCGGGUGCUAACGUCCGUCGUGAAGAGGGAAACAACCCAGACCGCCAGCUAAGGUCCCAAAGUCAUGGUUAAGUGGGAAACGAUGUGGGAAGGCCCAGACAGCCAGGAUGUUGGCUUAGAAGCAGCCAUCAUUUAAAGAAAGCGUAAUAGCUCACUGGUCGAGUCGGCCUGCGCGGAAGAUGUAACGGGGCUAAACCAUGCACCGAAGCUGCGGCAGCGACACUGUGUGUUGUUGGGUAGGGGAGCGUUCUGUAAGCCUGUGAAGGUGUGCUGUGAGGCAUGCUGGAGGUAUCAGAAGUGCGAAUGCUGACAUAAGUAACGAUAAAGCGGGUGAAAAGCCCGCUCGCCGGAAGACCAAGGGUUCCUGUCCAACGUUAAUCGGGGCAGGGUGAGUCGACCCCUAAGGCGAGGCCGAAAGGCGUAGUCGAUGGGAAACGGGUUAAUAUUCCCGUACUUGGUGUUACUGCGAAGGGGGGACGGAGAAGGCUAUGUUGGCCGGGCGACGGUUGUCCCGGUUUAAGCGUGUAGGUGUGUGUUCCAGGUAAAUCCGGUU